Molecule: long non-coding RNA, 127 nt
Organism: Thalassophryne amazonica
Lineage: Eukaryota; Metazoa; Chordata; Actinopteri; Batrachoidiformes; Batrachoididae
Exons: 3
Source: RefSeq, a predicted model, not a curated record
UUAGGUUUUCUAUUUUCAGCUAGAAAAAAAAAUCGGGACAGUCAGACGUUUAUGACACCAUAAAUGGUUAAUGAAAGAGGUAAAAGAAAAAUCAACUUUACAAACUUAAAGCUGUACGACCUUUUAA